GUGAGGAAUAUUGGUCAAUGGGCGCGAGCCUGAACCAGCCAAGUAGCGUGAGGGAUGACUGCCCUAUGGGUUGUAAACCUCUUUUGCAGGGGGGUAAAGUGGUUCACGUGUGGGCCAUUGCAAGUACCCUGCGAAUAAGGAUCGGCUAACUCCGUGCCAGCAGCCGCGGUAAUACGGAGGAUCCGAGCGUUAUCCGGAUUUAUUGGGUUUAAAGGGAGCGUAGGCGGGGGUUUAAGUCAGCUGUGAAAUGCCGUGGCCCAACCAUGGAACUGCAGUUGAAACUGGACCUCUUGAGAGUACAUAAGGAAGGCGGAAUUCGUGGUGUAGCGGUGAAAUGCAUAGAUAUCACGAAGAACUCCGAUUGCGAAGGCAGCUUUCCGGGGUACAUCUGACGCUGAAGCUCGAAAGUGCGGGAAUCAAACAGGAUUAGAAACCCCAGUAGUCC
Molecule: ribosomal RNA, 445 nt
Filed under: uncultured bacterium
Lineage: Bacteria
Description: partial 16S ribosomal RNA
Rfam family: Bacterial small subunit ribosomal RNA
Source: RNAcentral